This 1482-nucleotide long non-coding RNA is filed under the name Cairina moschata (Muscovy duck). RNAcentral's name for it is "domestica (muscovy Duck (domestic type)) lncRNA (ENSCMMG00000015459.1)". Lineage: Eukaryota; Metazoa; Chordata; Aves; Anseriformes; Anatidae. The record is from RNAcentral.
UUUUCAUGCUGUACAUAAAAUCAUUUUUGACUUGCACACAGGGAUGCUGCUACUUUAUAUAACUUCUACCCUGUACCCUACAGGUAGCAAUAAAGCUGGGUAACUUGCUGCAACAAGCAGAGAGAGGAUAUAGUAGAAAAGAAGAGUGCUGGGGAGGUUCAGCUGUGCCCAUCAGUAGCAUUUUGUAUUUCCUGAGCACGAGACUGGUACCAGAUCUACGGCCUGCCCAAAGACCAGGCUGCUGAGGGAAGGAAGUGGCAUGCUGGGGAGUUCAGAGGUGUUGAAGACAACCCUGACCGUUCCUAAGCACCUCGUGGGAGGACGAGGAGGAGUGGGAAGCAGAGCUGAGCAUCGCUGCCCUGCAGCCCCGGCUGCCAGCGUUACCCCUGCCUGCCCUCCAGCUGCACGGCGCAAAGCCCAUGCAGAACUGCCAUGGCAGGCAACGCAAAACCCCAAGACAAUGGUUUUCAGUACAUGAGCUGAAGCUUCUGGCUGCUGCAGAAGAGUUUUCCUCUAUGUCUCUCAUGAAACUUCCAUAAAGGUAUGAAAGCCGUAUUUUCUGUCUUUGUAGUCAAUUUACAUCCUGUAUCCAAAAACUAAUGACAAUCAGAUGCAGCUGAUGAAAUAAUCUGUUCUUGCUGCAGAGCUCAUUCAAUCAGCUGAGAGCUCUGGUUCUCACAUAGAUAAUGAGUGUUGUGACAAGUGUAACUCUGCCUCAGUUUGGUGGCAAUGUUAGAAACUGUGACAAAAAUUAAAUUAUUUGUCUGCUUUAACCGUGGCCCUUCUCAGAUUGCUAAUGAGAGAGAUCCUUGUUAAACAUAUGUUCUUUUUGAUAGGCUCCUUUUCAGGUCCUCAGCUGGGAAAAUGAUGUAUUGUUGGUAUCAUAAAGGGCAUGAAAGAGAGGGCUUUCCCUUAUUUUCUGUGCCUCUUUUCUUUUUAUGUCUCGAGCUGAUGUAACAGGUCAUUGCUUGUGUGCCAGCAUAAAAGGGAAAGAUCCCCUAAAACGAAAUCUCUGGGGAGAGCGGUGCUGCUGAACACCUUCCCUGCUAUGUGGCCCCACAGCAUCGCCCGGCUCUCGGUGUUCCUGCUGAAUGAGUGGGCACGGGGAGCACACGGAGGUGCUCUGGUCUCGGGGGAGCAUUCACUGCGCUUUCCUUGGGGAUGGCAAAAAUGAAUCUGAGCUUCUACCAAGGGCUGCAGAGCAGCUGGAGCAAUAAGUCCCUGUGCAUGCUUUGAAGUGCCUGUCACACCGUGCAGACCUUGGCCCCGCUCCGCUGUAACUCUGUGAACCCAGCAGGGAGAUUGGCGAGGUCCCUGAGGGGGGAGGAUGCUGUGGUAAGUGCUUGGGAAGAGUGGGGCGUCGCUCCGCAGCACAGCUGCCUUCACCUUCCUUCAAAGGGAGCGUUAAGACGGAGCCCUAUCUGUGGUUUUGUAAUGGUUUGGUCACUGGUUCUUGGUCAAACCUUUGACUGAGGGAUUGCA